GGCCUUGGGCGAUCUGGCUGCGACAUCUGUCACCCCAUUGAUCGCCAGGGUUGAUUCGGCUGAUCUGGCUGGCUAGGCGGGUGUCCCCUUCCUCCCUCACCGCUCCAUGUGCGUCCCUCCCGAAGCUGCGCGCUCGGUCGAAGAGGACGACCAUCCCCGCUAGAGGAGGACCGGUCUUCGGUCAAGGGUAUACGAGUAGCUGCGCUCCCCUGCUAGAACCUCCAAACAAGCUCUCAAGGAAAGCACAUUUUUUAAGAAAACAUUUUAAAGAAGAAAGGGCCAAGGACAGAGAUUUACAGCAUUAAAUUUUAAACUUUAUGCUUUAAUUUUUUCAGUCAUU
This is an unclassified non-coding RNA of Chlorocebus sabaeus (green monkey), 340 nucleotides long. Its record names the gene 7SK. It matches the Rfam family "7SK RNA". From Rfam's summary of the family: 7SK was discovered as an abundant small nuclear RNA in the mid-70s but a possible function has only recently been suggested. Two independent studies have found that 7SK RNA binds the CDK9/cyclin T complex (known as elongation factor P-TEFb). Lineage: Eukaryota; Metazoa; Chordata; Mammalia; Primates; Cercopithecidae. The record is from Ensembl.